GACGAACGCUGGCGGCGUGCUUAACACAUGCAAGUCGAACGGAAAGGCCCUGCUUUUGUGGGGUGCUCGAGUGGCGAACGGGUGAGUAACACGUGAGUAACCUGCCCUUGACUUUGGGAUAACUUCAGGAAACUGGGGCUAAUACCGGAUAGGAGCUCCUGCUGCAUGGUGGGGGUUGGAAAGUUUCGGCGGUUGGGGAUGGACUCGCGGCUUAUCAGCUUGUUGGUGGGGUAGUGGCUUACCAAGGCUUUGACGGGUAGCCGGCCUGAGAGGGUGACCGGCCACAUUGGGACUGAGAGACGGCCCAGACUGCUACGGGAGGCAGCAGGGGGGAAUAUUGCACAAUGGGCGGAAGCCGGAUGCAGCAACGCCGCGUGCGGGAUGACGGCCUUCGGGUUGUAAACCGCUUUCGCCUGUGACGAAGCGGGAGUGACGGUAAUGGGUAAAGAAGCACCGGCUAACUACGUG
RNAcentral lists this ribosomal RNA (468 nucleotides) under uncultured bacterium. Its description in RNAcentral is "partial 16S ribosomal RNA". It matches the Rfam family "Bacterial small subunit ribosomal RNA", at positions 28 to 507 of the family's 1533-position model. The record is from RNAcentral.